This 253-nucleotide ribosomal RNA is filed under the name uncultured bacterium. Its description in RNAcentral is "partial 16S ribosomal RNA". It matches the Rfam family "Bacterial small subunit ribosomal RNA", at positions 524 to 776 of the family's 1533-position model. The record is from RNAcentral.
GACAGAGGGUGCAAACGUUGCUCGGAAUCACUGGGCGUAAAGGGCGUGUAGGCGGGAAGGAAAGUCAGAUGUGAAAUCCCUGGGCUCAACCCAGGAACUGCAUUUGAAACUCCCUUUCUUGAGUACCGGAGAGGAAAGUGGAAUUCCUGGUGUAGCGGUGAAAUGCGCAGAUAUCAGGAGGAACACCAAUGGCGAAGGCAGCUCGCUGGGACGUGACUGACGCUGAGACGCGAAAGCGUGGGGAGCAAACAGG